UAAUAUCAUUAUCUCUCCUCUCUUCUCUCUUCUCUCUUCGGCCGCAGGUCUCCGAUGGCGCCGUUGACUCAGUCUGUCCUCAGCCUCCUCUCCGCCGCUUUCCUCCUUGGCUUCCUCUCUGAUCCGGCCGCUGCUCGUCCCUGCAAAACCCUUUUCAUCUCCUCCUACUCCGUAUCCUUCCACCCCAAUUUCCCCGAUCAAAAUAACCCUAACUCCGCAGGCACCGCCGGAAUUCUCACGAUUUUCACUGAGAUCCGGCAAUUUAACCCCCGUCCGCCGCUCACCUUCGUCGACGCCGUCGAGGAUCAGCACCCGAUCGAGCGUCCGCCGCGAUUUGGCCUCGGUCUAGGGUUCGACUCCGACUCCCUCCGCGACCGCACCAAGGACGUGCUCAGCGUUGUUGUGGCGCUGCUCUUCGGCGUCGGCUGUGGCGCUCUCACCGCCGCAACCAUGUACUUGGGUUGGUCGCUCUUCUCCAACCGCCACCGCUACUCCGACUUCGAUUACGAUGACUUUGAGGAUGAUGACGUUGACAUGAGCCCUAAGAAGGUGGGCUAUGUGAGGAUCCCUCCUCCUGCUGAUGC
Molecule: long non-coding RNA, 584 nt
Filed under: Vitis vinifera (wine grape)
Lineage: Eukaryota; Viridiplantae; Streptophyta; Magnoliopsida; Vitales; Vitaceae
Description: long non-coding RNA (VVIN_LNC007471)
Source: RNAcentral